Molecule: ribosomal RNA, 429 nt
Filed under: bacterium
Lineage: Bacteria
Description: partial 16S ribosomal RNA
Rfam family: Bacterial small subunit ribosomal RNA
Source: RNAcentral
UAGGGAAUCUUCGGCAAUGGGGGCAACCCUGACCGAGCAACGCCGCGUGAGUGAAGAAGGUUUUCGGAUCGUAAAGCUCUGUUGUAAGAGAAGAACGUGUGGGAGAGUGGAAAGUUCAACAAGUGACGGAAACUUACCAGAAAGGGACGGCUAACUACGUGCCAGCAGCCGCGGUAAUACGUAGGUCCCGAGCGUUGUCCGGAUUUAUUGGGCGUAAAGCGAGCGCAGGCGGUUUAAUAAGUCUGAAGUUAAAGGCAGUGGCUUAACCAUUGUUCGCUUUGGAAACUGUUAAACUUGAGUGCAGAAGGGGAGAGUGGAAUUCCAUGUGUAGCGGUGAAAUGCGUAGAUAUAUGGAGGAACACCGGUGGCGAAAGCGGCUCUCUGGUCUGUAACUGACGCUGAGGCUCGAAAGCGUGGGGAGCAAACAGG